GACGAACGCUGGCGGCGUGCUUAACACAUGCAAGUCGAACGGAAAGGCCCUGCUUUUGUGGGGUGCUCGAGUGGCGAACGGGUGAGUAACACGUGAGUAACCUGCCCUUGACUUUGGGAUAACUUCAGGAAACUGGGGCUAAUACCGGAUAGGAGCUCCUGCUGCAUGGUGGGGGUUGGAAAGUUUCGGCGGUUGGGGAUGGACUCGCGGCUUAUCAGCUUGUUGGUGGGGUAGUGGCUUACCAAGGCUUUGACGGGUAGCCGGCCUGAGAGGGUGACCGGCCACAUUGGGACUGAGAUACGGCCCAGACUCCGACGGGAGGCAGCAGUGGGGAAUAUUGCACAAUGGGCGGAAGCCUGAUGCAGCAACGCCGCGUGCGGGAUGACGGCCUUCGGGUUGGAAACCGCUUUCGCCUGUGACGAAGCGUGAGUGACGGUAAUGGGGAAAGAAGCACCGGCUAACUACGUGC
This 469-nucleotide ribosomal RNA is filed under the name uncultured bacterium. RNAcentral's name for it is "partial 16S ribosomal RNA". It matches the Rfam family "Bacterial small subunit ribosomal RNA", at positions 28 to 508 of the family's 1533-position model. The record is from RNAcentral.